RNAcentral lists this ribosomal RNA (319 nucleotides) under uncultured bacterium. RNAcentral describes it as "bacterial SSU rRNA". It matches the Rfam family "Bacterial small subunit ribosomal RNA", at positions 30 to 355 of the family's 1533-position model. The record is from RNAcentral.
AUUGAACGCUGGCGGCAGGCCUAACACAUGCAAGUCGAGCGGCAGCACUUCGGGUGGCGAGCGGCGGACGGGUGAGUAACACGUAGGAAUCUACCUAGUAGUGGGGGAGUAGCCCGGGGAAACCGUACGGAUUAAUACCGCAUACGCUCUACGGAGGAAAGGGGGCGUUCGGCUCUCGCUAUUAGAUGAGCCUGCGUCGGAGUUAGCUAGUUGGUGGGGUAAAGGGACUCACCAAGGCGACGAUCCGUAACUGGUCUGAGAGGAUGAUCAGUCACACUGGAACUGAGACACGGUCCAGACUCCUACGGGAGGCAGCAGU